GAGUUUGAUCCUGGCUCAGAGCGAACGCUGGCGGCAGGCCUAAUACAUGCAAGUCGAACGGCUCUUCGGAGCAGUGGCGGACGGGUGAGUAACGCGUGGGAACGUGCCCUUUGGUACGGAACAACUGAGGGAAACUUCAGCUAAUACCGUAUACGCCCCUCGGGGGAAAGAUUUAUCGCUAUAGGAUGGGCCCGCGUCUGAUUAGGUAGUUGGUGAGGUAACGGCUCACCAAGCCGACGAUCAGUAGCUGGUCUGAGAGGAUGAUCAGCCACACUGGGACUGAGACACGGCCCAGACUCCUACGGGAGGCAGCAGUGGGGAAUAUUGGACAAUGGGCGAAAGCCUGAUCCAGCCAUGCCGCGUGAGUGAAGAAGGCCUUCGGGUUGU
RNAcentral lists this ribosomal RNA (387 nucleotides) under uncultured Alphaproteobacteria bacterium. RNAcentral describes it as "bacterial SSU rRNA". It matches the Rfam family "Bacterial small subunit ribosomal RNA", at positions 9 to 426 of the family's 1533-position model. Lineage: Bacteria; Pseudomonadati; Pseudomonadota; Alphaproteobacteria. The record is from RNAcentral.